AAUAAGUGCAGCUAUUAGUUUCAACGCUCAACUUUAAUCGUUCAUUUUAUUUAAAAAAAUUUUAUAAUUAGCAUUUUUGUUGUUAUAAGAUAAUAAAACAUAAAUAUUACUUUACUCGUGACUUAUGUUUUUAAUUUUUUAAAAAAAAUUUUAAAUAAGACGAACGGUCAAAGUUAUGCGCGGAAAACCAUGGCUGCACUUAUU
Oryza glumipatula is the source of this 204-nucleotide non-coding RNA. The record is from Rfam. Lineage: Eukaryota; Viridiplantae; Streptophyta; Magnoliopsida; Poales; Poaceae.